CCUACGGGAGGCAGCAGUAGGGAAUUUUCCACAAUGGGCGAAAGCCUGAUGGAGCAACGCCGCGUGGGUGAAGAAGGUCUUCGGAUCGUAAAACCCUGUUGGUAGAGAAGAAAGUGCGUGAGAGUAACUGUUCACGUUUCGACGGUAUCUAACCAGAAAGCCACGGCUAACUACGUGCCAGCAGCCGCGGUAAUACGUAGGUGGCAAGCGUUAUCCGGAUUGAUUGGGCGUAAGGGGAACGCAGGCGGUCUUUUAAGUCUGAUGUGAAAGCCUUCGGCUUAACCGGAGUAGUGCAUUGGAAACUGGGAGACUUGAGUGCAGAAGAGGAGAGUGGAACUCCAUGUGUAGCGGUGAAAUGCGUAGAUAUAUGGAAGAACACCAGUGGCGAAAGCGGCUCUCUGGUCUGUAACUGACGCUGAGGUUCGAAAGCGUGGGUAGCAAACAGGAUUAGAUACCCCAGUAGUC
This 465-nucleotide ribosomal RNA is filed under the name uncultured bacterium. RNAcentral describes it as "partial 16S ribosomal RNA". It matches the Rfam family "Bacterial small subunit ribosomal RNA", at positions 338 to 795 of the family's 1533-position model. The record is from RNAcentral.